RNAcentral lists this ribosomal RNA (1611 nucleotides) under metagenome. Its description in RNAcentral is "bacterial LSU rRNA". It matches the Rfam family "Bacterial large subunit ribosomal RNA", at positions 1332 to 2925 of the family's 2925-position model. The record is from RNAcentral.
UUUCGCUGAAAGACCAAGGGUUCCAGUCCAACGUUAAUCGGGGCUGGGUGAGUCGACCCCUAAGGCGAGGCCGAAAGGCGUAGUCGAUGGGAAAUUGGUUAAUAUUCCAAUACUUCUGUGUAAUGCGAUGAGAGGACGGAGAAGGUUAAGUCAGCCUGGCGAUGGUUGUCCAGGUGAAAGGUUGUAGGCAUGUAUCUUAGGCAAAUCCGGGGUACUCUAUGCUGAGAACUGAUAGCAAGCUGUACUUGUACAGCGAAGUGGCUGAUACCAUGCUUCCAGGAAAAGUCUCUAAGCUUCAGUUACACAGGAAUCGUACCCGAAACCGACACAGGUGGUCAGGUCGAGUAGACCAAAGCGCUUGAGAGAACUCUGCUGAAGGAACUAGGCAAAAUGGUACCGUAACUUCGGGAGAAGGUACGCUGUCGACGGUGAUGGGAUUUACUCCCUGAGCGGUUGACAGCCACAGAAACCAGGCCCCUGCAACUGUUUAUUAAAAACAUAGCACUCUGCAAACACGAAAGUGGACGUAUAGGGUGUGAUGCCUGCCCGGUGCUGGAAGGUUAAUUGAUGGGGUUAGCGUAAGCGAAGCUCUUGAUCGAAGCCCCAGUAAACGGCGGCCGUAACAAUAACGGUCCUAAGGUAGCGAAAUUCCUUGUCGGGUAAGUUCCGACCUGCACGAAUGGCAUAAUGAUGGGGGCGCUGUCUCCAGCAGAGACUCAGUGAAAUCGAAUUCGCCGUGAAGAUGCGGUGUACCCGCGGCUAGACGGAAAGACCCCGUGAACCUUUACUGCAGCUUGACAUUGAACUUUGAUCUUACUUGUGUAGGAUAGGUGGGGGGCUUUGAAACCGAGACGCUAGUUUCGGUGGAGCCAAUCUUGAAAUACCACCCUGGUAAUAUUGAGGUUCUAACUCUGCUCCAUAAUCUGGAGCGAGGACCAUGUCUGGUGGGUAGUUUGACUGGGGCGGUCUCCUCCUAAAGAGUAACGGAGGAGUACGAAGGUGCGCUCAGCGUGGUCGGAAAUCACGCGUAGAGUAUAAAGGCAAAAGCGCGCUUAACUGCGAGACCCACAAGUCGAGCAGGUACGAAAGUAGGUCUUAGUGAUCCGGUGGUUCUGUAUGGAAGGGCCAUCGCUCAACGGAUAAAAGGCACUCUGGGGAUAACAGGCUGAUACCGCCCAAGAGUUCAUAUCGACGGCGGUGUUUGGCACCUCGAUGUCGGCUCAUCUCAUCCUGGGGCUGAAGCAGGUCCCAAGGGUAUGGCUGUUCGCCAUUUAAAGAGGUACGCGAGCUGGGUUUAGAACGUCGUGAGACAGUUCGGUCCCUAUCUACCGUGGGCGCUGGAAAUUUGAGAGGAUCUGCUCCUAGUACGAGAGGACCAGAGUGGACGAACCUCUGGUGUACCGGUUGUGACGCCAGUCGCAUCGCCGGGUAGCUAUGUUCGGAAGGGAUAACCGCCGAAAGCAUCUAAGCGGGAAGCCUACCUCAAGAUAAGAUUUCCCUGUGACUUUAUGCACCUAAAGAGCCGUUGAAGACUACGACGUUGAUAGGUUGGAUGUGGAAGUGCAGUGAUGCAUGAAGCUGACCAAUACUAAUUGCUCGUGAGGCUUGAUU